Molecule: ribosomal RNA, 253 nt
Filed under: Mediterraneibacter glycyrrhizinilyticus
Lineage: Bacteria; Bacillati; Bacillota; Clostridia; Lachnospirales; Lachnospiraceae
Description: partial 16S ribosomal RNA
Rfam family: Bacterial small subunit ribosomal RNA
Source: RNAcentral
UACGUAUGGUGCAAGCGUUAUCCGGAUUUACUGGGUGUAAAGGGAGCGUAGACGGAGAGGCAAGUCUGAUGUGAAAACCCGGGGCUCAACCCCGGGACUGCAUUGGAAACUGCUUUUCUAGAGUGUCGGAGAGGUAAGUGGAAUUCCUAGUGUAGCGGUGAAAUGCGUAGAUAUUAGGAGGAACACCAGUGGCGAAGGCGGCUUACUGGACGAUGACUGACGUUGAGGCUCGAAAGCGUGGGGAGCAAACAGG